Lolium perenne is the source of this 4198-nucleotide long non-coding RNA. RefSeq lists it as uncharacterized. Lineage: Eukaryota; Viridiplantae; Streptophyta; Magnoliopsida; Poales; Poaceae. The record is from RefSeq and is a predicted model, not a curated record.
CGCUGCCCACGCGACCAGGCCACGCCAGCCAAAUUCCGACGCAAACCCUAAGCCAGCCGGCCAGCUCUCGCCACUCACCCACGCGGCGCGGGGCCCAAUGGUGGAGGUGGCGCUGGCCCAAGGGAGGACGGGGGCGGCAGGGAGGAGAGCACCGUCAAGCUCUUCGUCGGCCAGGUGCCCAAGCUCAUGACCGAGGCCAAGCUGGCCGCCAUGAUCCGCGACAAGGCCACCAAGGUCUCGCGAGGUUCGUACGGAUCCGUACAUCCCAACCCGCACCGCCGGGGUUUCAUUCCCUCCACCCCGUUUCCUUCCAUGCCUGCCCGUCUCUUCGUUUUUUUCUUCUUCUCGCGGGUCGGGAUCUGGGCGCGGUUCUGCGGGAACAUGGUUCUGUUGCUCUGCAUUUUCCGCGCUUCCUCCAUGGGGGCCAAUGCAUGCCGCACAGGAAACUUGAGCUGGCUGGUUUCUCUCUGUUCCGGCCAAAAUGUUUCUUGCUCUGCUGCUGGGAAUUGGGCUCCUUCAUGGCGGUUCAGGUUCGAUGUGGUGGGGGAAUUUCAUGCGAGGGUUGCGUUGAACUGUGAACAUCUGGUACGGUGUGAGCUCCACUGUGGAGAAAAGUCAAAACAUCUAUCCACGUCCGCUUCAUUCACCCCAUGUUUCAUUUUGAGGUGCUUGUCUCGCACGUAGGAGCUUUGGGUUGAUUGAGAUUCUCCGAUUUUGGACUCUUGUUAGUCACCAUUUUAGAAUGUCCUCAUUUGUUGGGUUUAGGUGCAUAAGGUACACCAGAUUUAUAAAUUUGAUCACUCUUAAAUCUUCAUAUAGUUGCGUAUAUCACUUUCAGGAAAAUAUAUGAAAUUCUGUAAUUGUUUAAUUUGUAUAUCACUCUUAAAUCUUCAGAUAGUUGCAUAUAGUGCCUGAAUUUAUAUAAUUUGUAUUGGCAAAAUAACUAGACAUCUAAUAUGUUGGCUUUACUUUGUAAUUAGUAGUAUCAAAGAUCUGCUUGGAUUGUCAUUUUGUCAGUGCAGACACUAUAAGCAAGUACUUAUUCUCACCUGUUGUUGAUCAAAAUAAAUAUUGCAGGGAGUUGGCUGCAGCGCUAAUUAGCACACCAUUGUAACUGCUUGUGUCUCUGCAUCAUUUUCCAUAUUCUGUGUUAAUACCAAAAAAAUGGCCACCCCUUGACUUUUGCUCACGCUUCGCUACUGGUUUCAGGUAAAAGCUUGUGUCAUAUAACUGGUAAUCUGUUUGCUGUGUUGUGUUGUCUAUUGAAUGCUGGGUUUCAGGUAGAUGCACAAUCCUUACAUAUUGACAUUGAUAAACUGCUUGCUGAUAACCUCUGCACCGUUGCUGCUGCACGCAUUCUGCCGCCCCCUCCAAGCUGGAUGCCGGUUACGAUGAAGAAGAAAAUGACGAGGAAGACCAGAGUCUGAUGAAGGCCACAGUCUGGCUUUCCUGCGAGGACGAGCGCUGGCGACGCUCUCAGCUGCCUGCGGGCGGCGCAGAUAGAAUGUCGGACGCGGUGCGCUGCAUGGCAUUCCUGGUAUGCUACCUCCGUGGGUGGGCAGGGUCCCCAAAUAGUGGCUUGACCAUCUCUGUCCCCUAUCUCACCAUUGCUAGGGUGCACUCACAUUCAGUAAGCAAAGUCUGGACGGUUGGACUAGGUCAUGUUAAGUUUGUGACCUGCACUGAAUUUUUCUGGUCAUCCUUUUGAUAAGUGAAAUUAAGUACGUUGAACCAUUCAUUAUAAUUGAAAUAUCAAGGUGUAUGUGCUAAUUCUCUGUUCUAUUGCCUUUAUUAUGCUCAUGGUUCAUUGUAGCAUUUUAAUAUGCAUGACUCUUGAAUUGGCCAGUAGGAAGGCGUCAUGGCACCCUCUCUGCCACCAAAGUCACAAUUGAAGAAUAUGGUAACUUGUCUUGCUCAUUUCAUUUGUCACUAUAUUAAUAUAACUUCUACAAGGGAAAUCGAACUUUACUGGGUGUUAAGUUUAUUGAGACUAGAUUGUUGAUGAAAUGCAUAUAGUUGGGAAGAUCAUGUUUGAUAGAAGAUUCAAUGUAAUUAGACACUUCUUUUCCACUUAUAUAUGUUGAGCUAUCCCUUCAGAACUAUGAAAGCAGUAGAAAAUCACGCUUGAAUUAUUUUCUAGGCAUCUUAUAAAUAAUUUCAUACCAUGCAAAUAUGUUACGCAAAUAUGCAAAUCUCUGACAUGUUUCAUGAGGCGGAGGGAAGUAUACUGCUUGGGUUGUCAUUAACUCAAUCCUUGUGAUGAAUUAUGUUGACAGAGAUAACGUACAAUAGAGGUAACAUCACUCGUGCUCAUCAAGAGUGGGAGAUGUGGCAAGAUUAUGUGGUAUGUACUUCUUUGCAUUGGAAAAAAUUCACCUAACUAUAUCUACUGGCUCCAGUUUGAUCUUGAUUUGUUAUGGGAACAACAAAGACACCAUGUAAGGAUUUUGAUUUUCAUGUAGUUAUAUAUAGCUAUUGUUUAAAUUGACAUCAUUGUUCUGCUGGAGGAGUUGUGCAGAAUCGCCAUUGAGAAGUUCAUGAUAGCGUUCUUCUGAUCCACUUUCUUAUAGUGCCAUUGAGCUCCUUCGCCAGUUCUUCAUCGAGAUAGCCUCAACACAUCAUCGGCAAGCAGCAGAACGAGGCGACCACGUUGGCUUGGGACACCAAGAUUUCCACAAGACUCCGUCUUACUUCCCUUCUUUUUCAACCCCACCACGUAUUAUGUUAUCAUUUGUCCAGCAUGAAUUACUUGGAACAGUGUGGAGCCUUCGGGCUCAUACCUUGGGACUUUUAUGGUAAGUUCCACAUGAGGUAUGUUAUUAUUUUGAGUUUUAUAUUAUACAGAUUAAUGAACCGCUCCCCCUUGUUUAUUAAAGCAGCAAGGAUUGUUCUACUUGUACAGGCGUAGUGUAUACCUUCUCGUAAAUGAGAAGACAUCAAGAAUUCCAGUACUAUGAGCUUACCAUUUAUUGGCUUAAUCCAUUGUAUUUACAUUUGCUUCCACUCCCGUUUUGCGAUGUUGAUUAGUGUGAUGGAUGGCGAAACUAAGAUGUUUGAUCUUUCUUUACAAAUAUAGUUUUCAAAUAUUCGUUAGUUUCAGAUAGAGUGAUACUAUCAGUAAGCAUUGGUAUGCCUGUUUAUUCUUCAAAAAUAAGUAGUACUUCUAUAUGCAUAGAUUCAUUUUCGCAUGCUCUUCAAAAUGAGUACAUGACAGUCCAGGAUGGGAGUUAGCUAUAAUUUUGUUUGCAGUGGCACAAUACAAGAGUAAGCUACAUCUCACACAUUCUUAUGCCUUAAUUAGGUUCAGAGUUCAGGAGAUAAUUACCAUUUGUUGACUUAGUCCAUUGUAUAUACAUUUGCUUCCACUCCUGUUGUGGGAUGUUGAUCAGGAGAUAAUUACCGAGACUAAGAGGUUUGAUCUUUCUUUACAAAUAUAGUUUGAAUAUAUUCGUUAGUUUCAGAUAGAGUGAUACUAUCAGUAAGCAUUGUUACACUAGAAAUGCUCUAUUUGUUCUUCAGAAGUAAGUUGUACUUCUAGCUGCAUAGAUUCAUUUUCGCCUUCUCUUCAGAAUGAGUAUAUGAUAGAUGAUGGUAGUUAGCUAUAACUGUGUGGCACAAUACAAGAGUAAGCUAGCUCUCACAUAUUCAUAUGCCUUCAGUAGCAUAUUUUGAAUUUCAUGUAGGUUCAGGUUUAGAGUUCAGGAGAUAUGAUAUACGCAAAAGAUAUUUAUUUGUUUGUUAAUCACUGAAUUGUAGAACUUUGUUGUGCAGGAUCAAUUUGAAAAUAUUCGCCAGCAUAUUGUCACACAGAGGCAGUGAAACUACAAUCAAAUCUGCUCAUGUUGGUUUGCCAAGAGUGAAAGCAUGUGGAAUUCAAGAUUACUUUGGAGGAUUAUUUGGAGUUUGUGCCACAACAUAUAGUGCGGUAGGUAGGGGAGGGGGAUGGUCUUCUUACCGGCAGUGAGGAGGCAGCGGAACACCGACGGUCAAAGUGAAGCUCUAGAGUGGGAACUAGGGAGCAUUAAUGUGAGUGCAUGUGUGUUUUUGGUGUUUAUUGGUAGUUUUCUCAAGAAUCUGUUAGGACAUGGUGCGGUCAAUAUGGAAAGUUCUCUAUGAUUUUUUGGAUUUAUAUUAAACUAUCAAAAUAAGCUCUUCAUUUUUAUGUGUAUGUUCCAUAAAUGCACUUCAAACAAUUAAA